CUCAAAAGUCUUUGGAUCUUUCAUUUGUUGCUAGAGCAGUGGGCCUAGGAUGGUACCUGACACCCAGAAGGCACCUAAUAAAUGGUUAUGGAAUUGAUGGGUAGCCAAAGAGAUGUCAUUUAACCUUGGCGAUAGAAGCAGACCUGGUCUCUUAGGCCAAGAAUAAGGAAUGGAGGCUCAGCAGAGUUCCAGGGCUUGACCCAAUCAGCACAACAUUACCUUUGAACAGGAACAUCUGCAGGGACCCCUCUUCCAUUUGAACUCAUAGCUGGAUGCCUUCCAUCAGAAUAGCAGACAACUUUGACCUCAUGCCUUAGAUUGGUUCUCACGCUUGAUUUUUUGAAAGUUGAAGUGUCAUUCUUUUCAAUUCUUUGAACAUGGUGGAUUUGGACCAACUACCACAUGAGCUAAACCUUGCCAAGUUCAUUGCUAAAGCAAGAGGGGAUGGUAUCAAGAUGUGCUGUAACUGGAAACACUAUUUAAUAAUCAUUCAAAGCACCUGUUGUCCUAC
Long non-coding RNA from Vombatus ursinus (common wombat), 511 nucleotides. RefSeq lists it as uncharacterized. The transcript has 4 exons. The record is from RefSeq and is a predicted model, not a curated record. NCBI's taxonomy places the organism in Eukaryota, Metazoa, Chordata, Mammalia, Diprotodontia, Vombatidae.